This 368-nucleotide ribosomal RNA is filed under the name uncultured organism. RNAcentral describes it as "bacterial SSU rRNA". It matches the Rfam family "Bacterial small subunit ribosomal RNA", at positions 526 to 896 of the family's 1533-position model. The record is from RNAcentral.
CGGAGGGUGCAAGCGUUAUCCGGAUUCACUGGGUUUAAAGGGAGCGCAGGCGGAUUUGUAAGUCAGUGGUGAAAGGCUUAAGCUUAACUUGGGAACUGCCAUUGAUACUAUAAGUCUUGAAUGUUGUUGAGGUUUGCGGAAUGGGUCAUGUAGCGGUGAAAUGCAUAGAUAUGACCCGGAACACCUAUUGCGAAGGCAGCAGGCUAAACAAAUAUUGACGCUGAGGCUCGAAAGCGUGGGGAUCAAACAGGAUUAGAUACCCUGGUAGUCCACGCCCUAAACUAUGAUUACUCGACAUAUGCGAUACACUGCAUGUGUCUGAGCGAAAGCAUUAAGUAAUCCACCUGGGAAGUACGACCGCAAGGUUG